Molecule: non-coding RNA, 25 nt
Filed under: Mus musculus (house mouse)
Lineage: Eukaryota; Metazoa; Chordata; Mammalia; Rodentia; Muridae
Also listed under: 1 other name
Source: RNAcentral
GUACCUAAAACUGGAAGAUGUGACU